AUAUCAAUAAGCGGAGGAAAAGAAACCAACAGGGAUUGCCCUAGUAACGGCGAGUGAAGCGGCAACAGCUCAAAUUUGAAAUCUGGCUCCCUUGGGGGUCCGAGUUGUAAUUUGUAGAGGGUGCUUUGGUGUUAGCUGUGGUCUAAGUCCCUUGGAACAGGGCGUCGCAGAGGGUGAGAAUCCCGUAUGUGGCCAGCAGCUCUCGCCUUGUAAAGCCCCUUCGACGAGUCGAGUUGUUUGGGAAUGCAGCUCUAAAUGGGAGGUAAAUUUCUUCUAAAGCUAAAUACUGGCCAGAGACCGAUAGCGCACAAGUAGAGUGAUCGAAAGAUGAAAAGCACUUUGGAAAGAGAGUCAAAAAGCACGUGAAAUUGUUGAAAGGGAAGCGCUUGCAGCCAGACUUGCUCGUAGUUGCUCAUCCAGGCUUCUGCCUGGUGCACUCUUCUGCGGGCAGGCCAGCAUCAGUCCAGGCGGUCGGAUAAAGGCUCUGGGAAUGUGGCUCCUCUCGGGGAGUGUUAUAGCCCAGGGUGCAAUGCGGCCAGCCUGAACUGAGGUCCGCGCUUCUGCUAGGAUGCUGGCGUAAUGGCUGUAAGCGG
RNAcentral lists this ribosomal RNA (593 nucleotides) under uncultured fungus. RNAcentral's name for it is "eukaryotic LSU rRNA". It matches the Rfam family "Eukaryotic large subunit ribosomal RNA", at positions 40 to 647 of the family's 3401-position model. The record is from RNAcentral. Lineage: Eukaryota; Fungi.